GCCGAGGUAGCUCAGAGGUAGAGCAGCGGACUGAAAAUCCGCGUGUCGGCGGUUCGAUUCCGCCUCUCGGCACCA
RNAcentral lists this transfer RNA (75 nucleotides) under Dehalococcoidia bacterium. Its description in RNAcentral is "tRNA-Phe". It matches the Rfam family "tRNA". From Rfam's summary of the family: Transfer RNA (tRNA) molecules are approximately 80 nucleotides in length. The record is from RNAcentral. Lineage: Bacteria; Bacillati; Chloroflexota; Dehalococcoidia.